This 575-nucleotide ribosomal RNA is filed under the name uncultured Glomeromycotina. Its description in RNAcentral is "bacterial SSU rRNA". It matches the Rfam family "Eukaryotic small subunit ribosomal RNA", at positions 548 to 1114 of the family's 1831-position model. The record is from RNAcentral. Lineage: Eukaryota; Fungi; Glomeromycota.
UUGGAGGGCAAGUCUGGUGCCAGCAGCCGCGGUAAUUCCAGCUCCAAUAGCGUAUAUUAAAGUUGUUGCAGUUAGAAAGCUCGCAGUUGAAUUUCGGGAUCAAUUUGCCGGUCGAGACCUCUGGUACGUACUUGUAUUAUUGAUUUCUUUCAUUCUGAUAAAUCAUUGAUGUCAUUAAUUUGAUGACUUUGAGGAAUCGGAACUUUUACUUUGAAAAAAUUAGAGUGUUUAAAGCAGGCUCAUUAGGCUUGAAUACAUUAGCAUGGAAUAAUGAAAUAGGACGAUUGAUCCUAUUUUUGUUGGUUUCUAGGAUUGACGUAAUGAUUAAUAGGGAUAGUUGGGGGCAUUAGUAUUCAAUUGUCAGAGGUGAAAUUCUUGGAUUUAUUGAAGACUAACUACUGCGAAAGCAUUUGCCAAGGAUGUUUUCAUUAAUCAAGAACGAAAGUUAGGGGAUCGAAGACGAUCAGAUACCGUUGUAGUCUUAACCAUAAACUAUGCCGACUAGGGAUCGGAUGAUGUUAAUUUUUUCUAAUGACUCAUUCGGCGCCUUACGGGAAACCAAAGUGUUUGGGUUC